GAUGAACGCUGGCGGCGUGCCUAAUACAUGCAAGUCGAGCGAACAGACGAGGAGCUUGCUCCUCUGACGUUAGCGGCGGACGGGUGAGUAACACGUGGAUAACCUACCUAUAAGACUGGGAUAACUUCGGGAAACCGGAGCUAAUACCGGAUAAUAUAUUGAACCGCAUGGUUCAAUAGUGAAAGACGGUUUUGCUGUCACUUAUAGAUGGAUCCGCGCCGCAUUAGCUAGUUGGUAAGGUAACGGCUUACCAAGGCGACGAUGCGUAGCCGACCUGGGAGGGUGAUCGGCCACACUGGAACUGAGACACGGUCCAGACUCCUACGGGAGGCAGCAGUAGGGAAUCUUCCGCAAAGGGCGAAAGCCUGACGGAGCAACGCCGCGUGAGUGAUGAAGGUCUUCGGAUCGUAAAACUCUGUUAUUAGGGAAGAACAAAUGUGUAAGUAACUAUGCACGUCUUGACGGUACCUAAUCAGAAAGCCACGGCUAACUACGUG
RNAcentral lists this ribosomal RNA (497 nucleotides) under uncultured bacterium. RNAcentral's name for it is "partial 16S ribosomal RNA". It matches the Rfam family "Bacterial small subunit ribosomal RNA", at positions 28 to 507 of the family's 1533-position model. The record is from RNAcentral.